CUACACCACACUGGCUCAAAAGAAGCAGAGAGUAGAUUUGGCUCAAUUGCACACACUGCAUCUCUGUGUAAACUGUAUGCUCCAUGCGUAGUGAUGAGUUGCAUUAAUCCUUCAAGAUGGGAAAGAACACUCCACUCAGUGUAGCUGGCUUUUAUAUAACUGGUAGAGUUGGAAGAUGCCACAAAGCCAAUAAUUUCCACGACACAUUUUAAUCUUUCCUGAUAUUUAUGUAUUAUUUAUCUAAUUUAUUGCAUUUGUGUCCUUCCUUUCCUCCACAAAAGACAAGAUGGUGCACCUGAUCUCACCACACACACACACACACACACACACACACACACCCUUUUAUUCUUACACCAACUCUUGGAGAAAGGUUAGUCUGAGAAAUUGUAACUGACUCAAGGUCACACGGUAUGCCUCACAGCAGACCAGAGAUUCAAACCUGCCAUAGCUUCUUUCCUUCCCAUUCUUUUUUCCUUUUGUAUUAUGCCUUUUAGCCUGUGAACCUGAGGGUAGGGGGAUAUUUUGUUUUUUAAUCUCUCUGCAACAUUCAGGAAGUCUUUACAGAGCUCUGCAAUGCCAAUAAUGCCAAUGGUGGUAACAAGUGAAAUGACCCUAUUCUGAGUUUCAGCCAAUUGAGUCAGGACGUAUAACUAUACUUUCAUUCCAAUUUUGGUCUGCUAAGUACCUUUGAGCAAGUAACUUUUAUGAAUCAGCUUUCUACUUUUUUAAAAAUAUUUUAUUAAGGAUUUUCUUGUUUUACAGAAGUAAGUGUAAUGCCUCGUAUUUUUUUUUUCGUGUAACAUUUUUACAAAUCCGUUUCAUUUGUUGAGGCAUUAGGGGGAGAAG
This is a non-coding RNA of Podarcis lilfordi (Lilford's wall lizard), 846 nucleotides long. The record is from the annotation of a GenBank genome assembly. NCBI's taxonomy places the organism in Eukaryota, Metazoa, Chordata, Lepidosauria, Squamata, Lacertidae.